RNAcentral lists this ribosomal RNA (736 nucleotides) under Plakortis sp. CU210. RNAcentral's name for it is "SSU rRNA". It matches the Rfam family "Eukaryotic small subunit ribosomal RNA", at positions 38 to 768 of the family's 1831-position model. Lineage: Eukaryota; Metazoa; Porifera; Homoscleromorpha; Homosclerophorida; Plakinidae. The record is from RNAcentral.
UCAAGACUAAGCCAUGCAUGUCUAAGUAUAAGCGAUCUUAUACGGUGAAACUGCGAAUGGCUCAUUAAAUCAGUUAUAGUUUAUUUGAUGGUCUCUCACCACUUGGAUAACCGUGGUAAUUCUAGAGCUAAUACAUGCGUCGAGUCCCGACUAUCGCGGAAGGGAUGUAUUUAUUAGAUUGAAGACCAAUGCGGGGCCUCGGUCCCGGUCUGUUGGUGAUUCAUAGUAACUGUUCGGAGCGCAGGGCCUCUCGUGCCGGCGCCGGAUCAUUCAAGUUUCUGCCCUAUCAACUGUCGAUGGUAAGGUAUCGGCUUACCAUGGUUGCAACGGGUGACGGAGAAUUAGGGUUCGAUUCCGGAGAGGGAGCCUGAGAAACGGCUACCACAUCCAAGGAAGGCAGCAGGCGCGCAAAUUACCCAAUCCCGACACGGGGAGGUAGUGACAAUAAAUAACAAUACAGGGCUUUCGUAAGUCUUGUAAUUGGAAUGAGAACAAUUUAAAUCCCUUAACGAGGAACAAUUGGAGGGCAAGUCUGGUGCCAGCAGCCGCGGUAAUUCCAGCUCCAAUAGCGUAUAUUAAAGUUGUUGCAGUUAAAAAGCUCGUAGUUGGAUUUCGGCGGCGCCGCGUCGGUCCGCCUGGCGGCGUGUCACUGUCGCGGCGCGGCUUUCUCUCGAGGGCCGCGCGUGCUCUUGAGUGAGCGUGCGCGGGACUCGGGACGUUUACUUUGAAAAAAUUA